UGUAACAACUGGCAGUUGUUUUUCUAAGGAUAUUGCUGUAAGAAUUUGUUAGUCUCUAAAGGGAAGCUAUGUUCUUUUUUAAUGUAGAAAAGCCCCUGAUCACAUGAAGAAUAAUUUUAAAAUGUUUUGUAGAUGAGUUGCAUGGGUAACUUGGGAAGUUUGAUACAGGAAUGCGUACUUUUUUAGUUCUAGUUCAGCUGGUCGCAUUGGCCCAAAGCUGAUAACCACUGAAGGCUGCUAGUCACUAGGAAGCAUCUUGGAGGGCUUUCGUAAGACAAGUUGCAGCCGCCCCAGGCAAUCUGCAUCCGGAACAGCAAAGGAAAACCUUCUCGAUAACCUCUGCAAAGGAAGCAGCUAAAAUGGAGGAGGACUUUCCCUUUUGGCUUAAAUCUAAGCAAGAUAUCCUACUGGUCCUGCUUAUGUCAUGGGGCCUUAGGUGGUCAUGGAAGAAACAGAUUACGUUACUCAAGCCAGCAGCAGCAGCACAUGCUCACCCCGCUAUCCAGCCAACAUUCCUCAACUCUGACCUGAGGACCACCUCUGGAGAUAAGAGUCCCUUCUUAUCAAUGCUGGUUGGAAUGCACCUUGAAAGUCACGUGAGAGCUUCAGGUUCAGAUGUAGUAAAGAAGAGGGAGUUUUCAUGGUGAAGAACUCAAUGUUGACUUUACAAAUGUACUGAUGGAGAACGUAGUUAAACCUGAGAAUAAUGAGGGCCAAAGGAAAAUCUUCUACCUCUUUCAGCUGUGACUUCUGCAAAGGUAAGAUUGAAAACCCUCAUGAGAAAUGAAAAAGUGAAGAGCUUAUCUGGAAUAUUUCAGUUAAAGAGCCAUAACUUCUACAAUGUAUUGUCAUAUUUGCUUUUUUGGUUUGCUAUUCAAAAGAGUGGGAUUAAUUACAUGUAAUUGCCACCCAGUAAGCUUUAAACAAUUUCCUUGAAAGUGUGAUUGUCUUACCUUACAGUUUGCUCUGCAAUUUCCAGUGGAUUACCUGCAGCUUUCUAAACAGGUAGCCAUACUCUCGCUGUUCACAUCAAGUGGAGUGUUAUUUGCUGGGAUAGUGAUGAAUCAAAAUGAAAUAAUCAUUUCAGUAUGGUAAUUACAUCAACUUUUAUUAUGUUAGUUCAGCACGGUUGCAAGUAUAAAUCUGCUAAAAAGGACAGGAAAAAGAUACAUACACAUGCAAUGUUUUUUAAAAGGCAUAGUCACUUGCUUAUGUUAAAAGCUGCUA
RNAcentral lists this long non-coding RNA (1227 nucleotides) under Cairina moschata (Muscovy duck). Its description in RNAcentral is "domestica (muscovy Duck (domestic type)) lncRNA (ENSCMMG00000009316.1)". Lineage: Eukaryota; Metazoa; Chordata; Aves; Anseriformes; Anatidae. The record is from RNAcentral.